RNAcentral lists this ribosomal RNA (520 nucleotides) under uncultured bacterium. RNAcentral describes it as "partial 16S ribosomal RNA". It matches the Rfam family "Bacterial small subunit ribosomal RNA", at positions 355 to 864 of the family's 1533-position model. The record is from RNAcentral.
UGGGGAAUAUUGGACAAUGGGCGCAAGCCUGAUCCAGCCAUACCGCGUGGGUGAAGAAGGCCUUCGGGUUGUAAAGCCCUUUUGUUGGGAAAGAAAUCCAGCUGGUUAAUACCCGGUUGGGAUGACGGUACCCAAAGAAUAAGCACCGGGCUAACUUCGUGCCAGCAGCCGCGGUAAUACGAAGGGUGCAAGCGUUACUCGGAAUUACUGGGCGUAAAGCGUGCGUAGGUGGUCGUUUAAGUCUGUUGUGAAAGCCCUGGGCUCAACCUGGGAACUGCAGUGGAAACUGGACGACUAGAGUGUGGUAGAGGGUAGCGGAAUUCCUGGUGUAGCAGUGAAAUGCGUAGAGAUCAGGAGGAACAUCCAUGGCGAAGGCAGCUACCUGGACCAACACUGACACUGAGGCACGAAAGCGUGGGGAGCAAACAGGAUUAGAUACCCUGGUAGUCCACGCCCUAAACGAUGCGAACUGGAUGUUGGGUGCAAUUUUGGCACGCAGUAUCGAAGCUAACGCGUUAAG